AUAAUAAUUUGUCCUUUAAUUUAGGACUAGAAUGAAUGAUUUGACGAAGUUAAAGCUGUCUUGUAAUUAUUAAUUAUUGAAUUUAAUUUUUAAGUUAAAAAGCUUAAAUUUUAUUAAAGGACGAGAAGACCCUAUAGAGUUUAAUAAAUUUAUUUUAUUUAUUAUAAAAAAAAUUUUAUAAAAAUAUUUUAAUUUAUUUUGUUGGGGUGAUAAUUAAAUUUAAUUAACUUUAUAUUAAAAUUUUACAUUUAUUAAUGAUUUUAUGAUCCUAUUUUUUAGAUUAUUAGAUUAAAUUACCUUAGGGAUAACAGCGUUAUUUUUUUUAGAGUUCUUAUUAACAUUAAAAAUUGC
Molecule: ribosomal RNA, 351 nt
Filed under: Gilpinia sp. Sus8
Lineage: Eukaryota; Metazoa; Arthropoda; Insecta; Hymenoptera; Diprionidae
Description: partial 16S ribosomal RNA
Source: RNAcentral